Arachis ipaensis is the source of this 1282-nucleotide non-coding RNA. The record is from RefSeq and is a predicted model, not a curated record. Lineage: Eukaryota; Viridiplantae; Streptophyta; Magnoliopsida; Fabales; Fabaceae.
GGCCUUUUAUAAGGAACAUGCUCAAUUGCUCACUGCUCAGUAACAAACACAAAGUGGCCGGUCGCAGUUCACUACUUCAUUCUUCACCGGUCUUCCACCUCCAGUGGAAACACAAGAGGCGAGGUAGGACGCAGAGGUUCCUCUUCUAGCACCUUCCUCCGCCUCUUCUCUUCCUCACUAUCUUCAUCUUUCUGUCCACUGCUGGGCUGCUUCCACCUUCAACAUAAACAAAGAAAGCAGAAGGCAGAGGUUGAGGUGCGGUCGAGGUCGCCACCGUCGAGGAAAGAAGUGAGUGUGUUGCUUAGGGUUGUGCUUUGCAAUGUGCAAUUCUUAGUCCAACUUUUUAAGUACGAGAGUUUCAGUAAACUGUUCUGACACCAAGACUAAGUUUCCAUUUUCCUUCCGGUAUGACAUUGUCUUCUUAGGUUGAACUGUAUAGGUCAAUAAAAGUUUUCCUUUUGCAAUUUCCCUUUCAUGGAAAGGUUCUGGACCAGAUGCACAGCUAAGUAUUGGAUCAGAUAAUCAUCAAAGUCUCUAUUGAUUCAGCAACUGUCAGGAAGAAGUUGACGUUCCGGUUUCCGAAGAAUCAGCUGCAGAAAACACCAAGAUGGGAUACCGAUGUGAACAUAUUUUUCUAUUCAACAAUCUGAGAAAGCAUCAUACAUGAUAGUUUUGCAGAUAUGACCUCAUCAUUGAAUAUAUGCUCCGAAGAAAAAGGCUAAGAAAGCGAAUAUUCUUGUAGAUCAAGUGGAUCUCCAGAAAGCUGUAGAGAAGGAGUUUGAAAUGGCUUUGCAAGAUCGCGGGAUGGAAGAAACAAAAGACUUGAAAAAUUGAUGUUUAUGAAAUGCGGGUCAAAAGUGUAAUUUGGCAAAAAUUGAAGGUUUAGGAUUUAAUUUGUCAAAAGUUUAGGGUUCAAAUUGUAAUUUGUCAAAAGUUGAGGGGUCAAAUAUAAUUUAUUAAAAGUUGAGGGGUUGAGGAGUCAAAGGUGUAAUUUGUCAAAAGUUAAGGGAUCUGUUGAAUUUGAAGUACUAAAAUAUUGCAAAGAUGAUAACUAAAACAUUGUGAAGAUGAUAACUAAAACAUUAUUGUGUUAUUAGCAAAUUGUUUGUGAUUUGGUCUGUUUAGUGUGCAAAAAAAAAAAUUAAAUUAGAACUGACCCAAAAAGCAAUGACACAAGCCGAAUAGCAUUCAGCCCACACUCACAGUUAUAGCCCAAGACAUACUUGUUAGUUUCACAAGUAUUUUAAAUCAGAAACAAAAACAAGCCUUCAGCCAAAUAAAA